GUCAUGGGGGGCAUUUCAGAGUGAAUCGUCUAUUGAUGACUCUGCCUAUUUAUACCUUAAAAGAAACUACCUCUGUUGCCUUACCUAAUUACUGAACUACGUGCGAAUUACUACUACGGCGGCGACUACUACAAUAAAUGACUAUACGCUGUACUUUGAAUAAUAAAAGAAAUUUAUUAAAA
Molecule: long non-coding RNA, 182 nt
Organism: Bufo bufo (common toad)
Lineage: Eukaryota; Metazoa; Chordata; Amphibia; Anura; Bufonidae
Exons: 3
Source: RefSeq, a predicted model, not a curated record